Non-coding RNA from Phrynosoma platyrhinos (Desert horned lizard), 72 nucleotides. Lineage: Eukaryota; Metazoa; Chordata; Lepidosauria; Squamata; Phrynosomatidae. The record is from the annotation of a GenBank genome assembly.
GCCAGUGUAGCGUAGUGGUUUGAACAUUGGACUACAAUUCUGGAGACCAGGGUUCGAUUCCCCGGUCAGCCA